UACGUAGGGAGCAAGCGUUGUCCGGAAUCAUUGGGCGUAAAGCGCGCGUAGGUGGCCUCAUAAGUCCGCUGUGAAAGUCAAAGGCUCAACCUUUGAAAGCCGGUGGAUACUGUGAGGCUAGAGUACGGAAGAGGCGAGUGGAAUUCCUGGUGUAGCGGUGAAAUGCGCAGAUAUCAGGAAGAACACCCGUGGCGAAGGCGGCUCUCUGGGACGGUACUGACGCUGAGACGCGAAAGCGUGGGGAGCGAACAGG
RNAcentral lists this ribosomal RNA (253 nucleotides) under uncultured bacterium. RNAcentral's name for it is "partial 16S ribosomal RNA". It matches the Rfam family "Bacterial small subunit ribosomal RNA", at positions 524 to 776 of the family's 1533-position model. The record is from RNAcentral.